This is a non-coding RNA of Megalops atlanticus (tarpon), 70 nucleotides long. Lineage: Eukaryota; Metazoa; Chordata; Actinopteri; Elopiformes; Megalopidae. The record is from the annotation of a GenBank genome assembly.
AGCAGUGUGGCAUAGUGGUAAGGUGCAGGGCUCAUAACCAAAAGGUUGUUGGAUCGAUUCCUUACUGCGG